Molecule: long non-coding RNA, 650 nt
Organism: Populus euphratica (Euphrates poplar)
Lineage: Eukaryota; Viridiplantae; Streptophyta; Magnoliopsida; Malpighiales; Salicaceae
Exons: 2
Source: RefSeq, a predicted model, not a curated record
GUCAUAAUACGACAAGAUGACGUUUCUUUCAAAUUGAAGCCACCCCACUUGCCUCUCUGAUUAUUAUUUAUGAAGGUCGGAAAAUACAGCUGAACUUCUCAACUCCAUGAUUCAUGCGCGGGUAUGUGUGUGUAUAUGUAAGUCCAUGUUUAGCUGUCGGAAAACAGAAGGAUCAAGCAUGGGUAUGCCUAAGUCAUUUUUGCUUCUGCUGCUGCUAAUAGUCACUGUAUCUGCAUCCCAGAAACAAAGAACCAUAGAAGCGAGGGCGCUUUCAUCCCUACCUCAACAAAAAUAUUCCAAGAUUUUUCAGACGCUGGGAGUUGUUUGCAAGUGCUGUGAUUCAACAGGACCUGAAUGCGCAACUACUUGGACGGGUUCAUGCCAUGAUCUCCAAUGCCUUCCUGGAAGAUAUAGACUAGAAUAAUCCGUGAUUUCCUUGUGCUUCUCUUCCUAGUGGUUUUUGUAGAUAUAUUUAGUCAUACUCGAUCGAUUUGACAUAAAAUUUUGCAUUUUAAAAUACUGCAACAAAGUAGAGGCGUUCAGCUUUUAGCUUGGCCAUGUUCUAGCUUCAUAAAAUGAUCCUAACAUGACAAGCUUAAUCUGGUCAGCAGACAUAUUAAAGACUAUAUAGAAUUUUUACGCUUAACUUC